GUAGGUGGCAAGCGUUGUCCGGAAUUAUUGGGCGUAAAGCGCGCGCAGGCGGUUCUUUAAGUCUGAUGUGAAAGCCCACGGCUCAACCGUGGAGGGUCAUUGGAAACUGGAGAACUUGAGUACAGAAGAGGAAAGCGGAAUUCCACGUGUAGCGGUGAAAUGCGUAGAGACGUGGAGGAACACCAGUGGCGAAGGCGGCUUUCUGGUCUGUAACUGACGCUGAGGCGCGAAAGCGUGGGGAGCAAACAGGAUUAGAUACCCUGGUAGUCCACGCCGUAAACGAUGAGUGCUAAGUGUUAGGGGGUUUCCGCCCCUUAGUGCUGCAGCUAACGCAUUAAGCACUCCGCCUGGGGAGUACGGCCGCAAAGGCUGA
RNAcentral lists this ribosomal RNA (373 nucleotides) under uncultured organism. RNAcentral describes it as "partial 16S ribosomal RNA". It matches the Rfam family "Bacterial small subunit ribosomal RNA", at positions 527 to 897 of the family's 1533-position model. The record is from RNAcentral.